Molecule: transfer RNA, 86 nt
Filed under: Pygmaiobacter sp.
Lineage: Bacteria; Bacillati; Bacillota; Clostridia; Eubacteriales; Oscillospiraceae
Also listed under: 1 other name
Description: tRNA-Tyr
Rfam family: tRNA
About the family: Transfer RNA (tRNA) molecules are approximately 80 nucleotides in length. Their secondary structure includes four short double-helical elements and three loops (D, anti-codon, and T loops).
Source: RNAcentral
GGGAGUGUUCCCGAGCGGUCAAAGGGGGCAGACUGUAAAUCUGUUGCCGUACGGCUACGGUGGUUCGAAUCCACCCGCUCCCACCA